GAGUUUGAUCUUGGCUCAGAGCGAACGCUGGCGGCAUGCUUAACACAUGCAAGUCGCGCGGGGGGCUUCGGCCCUCAGCGGCGGACGGGUGAGGAGCGCGUAGGAACGUGCCCUGUGGGUGGGGGACAACCCUGGGAAACCGGGGCUAAUACCGCAUAUGGCCCCAUGGGAGACCGUGGGGUCAAAGCCGGCAACGGCGCCAUGGGAGCGGCCUGCGUCCGAUUAGGUAGUUGGUGGGGUAACGGCCCACCAAGCCUGCGAUCGGUAGCUGGUCUGAGAGGACGACCAGCCACACUGGGACUGAGACACGGCCCAGACCCCUACGGGAGGCAGCAGUGGGGAAUAUUGGGCAAUGGGCGCAAGCCUGACCCAGCAAUGCCGCGUGGGUGAAGAAGGUCUUCGGAUUGUAAAGCCCCUUCGGCGGGGACGAUGAUGACGGUACCCGCAGAAGAAGCCCCGGCCAACUUCGUGCCAGCCCGCCGCGGUAAU
RNAcentral lists this ribosomal RNA (489 nucleotides) under uncultured Alphaproteobacteria bacterium. Its description in RNAcentral is "bacterial SSU rRNA". It matches the Rfam family "Bacterial small subunit ribosomal RNA", at positions 9 to 524 of the family's 1533-position model. Lineage: Bacteria; Pseudomonadati; Pseudomonadota; Alphaproteobacteria. The record is from RNAcentral.